RNAcentral lists this ribosomal RNA (1229 nucleotides) under Leuconostoc mesenteroides. RNAcentral's name for it is "bacterial SSU rRNA". It matches the Rfam family "Bacterial small subunit ribosomal RNA", at positions 41 to 1259 of the family's 1533-position model. Lineage: Bacteria; Bacillati; Bacillota; Bacilli; Lactobacillales; Lactobacillaceae. The record is from RNAcentral.
GGCGUGCUAUACAUGCAGUCGAACGCACAGCGAAAGGUGCUUGCACCUUUCAAGUGAGUGGCGAACGGGUGAGUAACACGUGGACAACCUGCCUCAAGGCUGGGGAUAACAUUUGGAAACAGAUGCUAAUACCGAAUAAAACUUAGUGUCGCAUGACAAAAAGUUAAAAGGCGCUUCGGCGUCACCUAGAGAUGGAUCCGCGGUGCAUUAGUUAGUUGGUGGGGUAAAGGCCUACCAAGACAAUGAUGCAUAGCCGAGUUGAGAGACUGAUCGGCCACAUUGGGACUGAGACACGGCCCAAACUCCUACGGGAGGCUGCAGUAGGGAAUCUUCCACAAUGGGCGAAAGCCUGAUGGAGCAACGCCGCGUGUGUGAUGAAGGCUUUCGGGUCGUAAAGCACUGUUGUAUGGGAAGAACAGCUAGAAUAGGAAAUGAUUUUAGUUUGACGGUACCAUACCAGAAAGGGACGGCUAAAUACGUGCCAGCAGCCGCGGUAAUACGUAUGUCCCGAGCGUUAUCCGGAUUUAUUGGGCGUAAAGCGAGCGCAGACGGUUUAUUAAGUCUGAUGUGAAAGCCCGGAGCUCAACUCCGGAAUGGCAUUGGAAACUGGUUAACUUGAGUGCAGUAGAGGUAAGUGGAACUCCAUGUGUAGCGGUGGAAUGCGUAGAUAUAUGGAAGAACACCAGUGGCGAAGGCGGCUUACUGGACUGCAACUGACGUUGAGGCUCGAAAGUGUGGGUAGCAAACAGGAUUAGAUACCCUGGUAGUCCACACCGUAAACGAUGAACACUAGGUGUUAGGAGGUUUCCGCCUCUUAGUGCCGAAGCUAACGCAUUAAGUGUUCCGCCUGGGGAGUACGACCGCAAGGUUGAAACUCAAAGGAAUUGACGGGGACCCGCACAAGCGGUGGAGCAUGUGGUUUAAUUCGAAGCAACGCGAAGAACCUUACCAGGUCUUGACAUCCUUUGAAGCUUUUAGAGAUAGAAGUGUUCUCUUCGGAGACAAAGUGACAGGUGGUGCAUGGUCGUCGUCAGCUCGUGUCGUGAGAUGUUGGGUUAAGUCCCGCAACGACGCACCCCUUAUUGUUAGUUGCCAGCAUUCAGAUGGGCACUCUAGCGAGACUGCCGGUGAGAAACCGGAGGAAGGCGGGGACGACGUCAGAUCAUCAUGCCCCUUAUGACCUGGGGUACCCCCUGCUACAAUGGCGUAACAACAAAUUGCCACCCGCG